RNAcentral lists this ribosomal RNA (342 nucleotides) under uncultured bacterium. RNAcentral describes it as "bacterial SSU rRNA". It matches the Rfam family "Bacterial small subunit ribosomal RNA", at positions 8 to 334 of the family's 1533-position model. The record is from RNAcentral.
AGGGUUUGAUUCUGGCUCAGGAUGAACGCUGGCGGCGUGCUUAACACAUGCAAGUCGAGCGAAGCACUUAUGAUGAUCCUUCGGGUGAAUCAUUUGUGACUGAGCGGCGGACGGGUGAGUAACGCGUGAGUAACCUUUCCCAGACAGGGGAAUAACACACCGAAAGGUGUACUAAUACCGCAUAAGACCACGGGAUCACAUGGUUCUGGGGUAAAAGAUUUAUCGGUUUGGGGUGGGCUCGCGUCCGAUUAGGUAGUUGGUGAGGUAACGGCCCACCAAGCCGACGAUCGGUAGCCGACCUGAGAGGGUGAUCGGCCACAUUGGGACUGAGACACGGCCCAA